AUGCUUAUGUGACGUGCACUCCGGCUGGGUUGGUUUAAAUCAGAUGGAUUGCAUAGUCUCAUAAGUGCCA
RNAcentral lists this microRNA precursor (70 nucleotides) under Mesocestoides corti. RNAcentral's name for it is "microRNA mco-mir-153 precursor". Its record names the gene mco-mir-153. Lineage: Eukaryota; Metazoa; Platyhelminthes; Cestoda; Cyclophyllidea; Mesocestoididae. The record is from miRBase by way of RNAcentral.